GGCAGUAGCCUGGGCGGCCACCAAGGGUGACCCGGGGGUGGGGAACCCAAUGCACCUCUGGAUUUGGGGUCUCUGGGAGGUCCCCGGGGAGGUCUGCGGGAUGGGGGGGGGGGUCCCACAGUCCCCAAGCCUCGAUGUCCCCGGGGGGCCCUGCCUGGGAGCCCCGGCAGCCCCCGUGUCCCUGAAGCCCCCAUACGGGGGUCCCCGGGGUGCCCUUGUGGCGUCCCCACGUCGGGGUCCCGGUGGUGCCCGAGCCGCUGUGUCCCCAGGGGUGUCCCCACAUAAGGGGAGCCCCCCCCCCACCCCACGUGUGUCCCCGUGCGGGGGUCCCCGCAGUCCCUGAGCCCCCCCCCUCACCUCCCCGUUCCCCGCAGGCGGGCCCCCGGCUGGAGGGGCUGCGGGGCCGCGCGCCCGGCUGCACCUGGGACUCGCUGCGCAACUCGGCGGGCGAGAAGAUCGUGCAGCUGCGGAGCCACCCGCUGGCACCCGUGGGUGCGGGCGCCUGCGCCCUCCUGCAGGAGCUCUCCGAGGAGCAGAGCUUCGCCAUCAGCUACCUCGACAUCAAUGCGUUGAGCCUCAGCGGGCUGCACCAGUGCCUGGUGGAGCUGUCGACGCAGCCGGCCACCGUGUGCCACGGCGCCGCCCCCUCCCGCGACGGCGCCCGCUCGCAGGCCGCCCGCAACGCCCUGCAGUACCUCCGCAUCAUGGCGGGGGGCAAGUGAGCCCCCCCCCAGUCCCUCUGCGCCCUCGGAUGGACGCCCGGACGGACCCACGGACGCCCGGAGCCACCCGCGGACACCUGGAGGGAGCCGGGGAGACGCAGACGGAGCCGGGGACCUACAGGCGGAGCUCUGCAGCCACCGACACGCGCGGACCCCCGGGAUGGAUGCCUGGACCCCCCCCCCGAUGUACACCCGGCCACUGGUGGGCGCCCAGACCCACCCAUGGACACCCAGACAGACACCCGGACCCACGGACGCACCCCGUGGGCGCCCGGACGGACUCUCAGACGCACGGACAGACACACGGACAGACACUCAGGCCCCGCACGGACCCCAGACGGACCUCGGGGCCGGGGGGACCCCCCCGUCCUGGCCCCUCUGCGGGCGAGGUGGGUCCCUGGGCACCAGCCAGCCCCCAGGAAUAAAGCUGGGGGGUUUGUAAACUCCCCGCCUCGGUGUCUUCUUGGGGGGGCCGCGGGAUGGAGGGGCCGUGGGGGG
This 1220-nucleotide long non-coding RNA is filed under the name Anser brachyrhynchus (Pink-footed goose). RNAcentral describes it as "lncRNA (ENSABRG00000020652.1)". The record is from RNAcentral. Lineage: Eukaryota; Metazoa; Chordata; Aves; Anseriformes; Anatidae.